CCUAAAUCACAUCUUCUUCUUUGUGUCUCUCUCUCUCUCUCUCUCUCUCGAGAAAAUCUGAGAAAAUUCACCGGCUAUUAUCUCUACGAUGCUUCACUUCCCCUUCGCCAGCGUUACUUAUUCUUACCUGGCUGAUUAUAUCCAUCUUAUCUUGUGAAGGAAGAUCAGCUAGUUAUGGAAGCCAAAAACAUGAUUAGGCAGAAAGAAUGCAGAAGCGUCUGGAGUCAAUAUGGUUCUGCUGCAGAGGACGAGGAAACUGUUUCAUCUCAAGACUCAUGUGUUACAUCACACCCACGGGUUAACAGGUAGACAUGAGAGCCAGGAUUCGAGUAAACAAAGGUUAAUAACAUAAGAGAUAAAUAUCGGGCACAGUGCACCUGCUUGUUCGAUAUCACAUUUUCAUUUUGGGAUUUUUGUUAAAAACUUAGUUAUUUGCCAUGUCAAUAUCAAGUUAGGCUUGUUACUAUACUCAAAAUUGAUUUAUUUUUUCCUGUUUAAAGUUGUAUUAUAUGGUACCAGAUGAAAUUGAAUGUC
This is a long non-coding RNA of Brassica oleracea var. oleracea, 534 nucleotides long. RefSeq lists it as uncharacterized. The record is from RefSeq and is a predicted model, not a curated record. The transcript is spliced from 3 exons. NCBI's taxonomy places the organism in Eukaryota, Viridiplantae, Streptophyta, Magnoliopsida, Brassicales, Brassicaceae.